UACGUAGGCAGCAAGCGUUGUUCGGAAUUAUUGGGCGUAAAGAGUGCGUAGGCGGUGUUCUAAGUCUGUCGUGAAAUCUCCCGGCUUAACUGGGAGGGUGCGGCGGAAACUGGGAUGCUAGAGGGUGGGAGAGGUAAGCGGAAUUCCUGGUGUAGCGGUGAAAUGCGUAGAUAUCAGGAGGAACACCUGCGGUGUAGACAGCUUACUGGACCACUUCUGACGCUGAGGCACGAAAGCGUGGGUAGCAAACAGGAUUAGAUACCCUGGUAGUCCACGCCCUAAACGAUGCAUACUUGGUGUGAGCGAUUCAUUUCGUUCGUGCCGGAGCUAACGCGUUAAGUAUGCCGCCUGGGGAGUACGGUCGCAAGGCUG
This 372-nucleotide ribosomal RNA is filed under the name uncultured prokaryote. Its description in RNAcentral is "bacterial SSU rRNA". It matches the Rfam family "Bacterial small subunit ribosomal RNA", at positions 524 to 896 of the family's 1533-position model. The record is from RNAcentral.